GACGAACGCUGGCGGCGUGCUUAACACAUGCAAGUCGAACGGUAAGGCCCUUCGGGGUACACGAGUGGCGAACGGGUGCGUAACACGUGGGUGAUCUGCCCUGCACUUCGGGCUAAGCCUGGGAAACUGGCUCUAAUACCGGAUAGGACCACUGCCUGCAUGGCUGGGGGUGGAAAGCUCUUGCGGUGUGGGAGGGGCCCGCGGCCUAUCAGCUUGUUGGGGGGGUGAUGGCCUACCAAGGCGACGACGGGUAGCCGGCCUGAGAGGGUGACCGGCCACACUGGGACUGAGAUACGGCCCAGACUCCUACGGGAGGCAGCAGUGGGGAAUAUUGCACAAUGGGCGCAAGCCUGAUGCAGCGACGCCGCGUGAGGGAUGACGGCCUUCGGGUUGUAAACCUCUUUCAGCACCGACGAAGCGCAAGUGACGGUAGGUGCAGAAGAAGGACCGGCCAACUACGUGCCAGCCGCCGCGGUAA
This 478-nucleotide ribosomal RNA is filed under the name uncultured bacterium. RNAcentral's name for it is "partial 16S ribosomal RNA". It matches the Rfam family "Bacterial small subunit ribosomal RNA", at positions 28 to 523 of the family's 1533-position model. The record is from RNAcentral.